This 495-nucleotide ribosomal RNA is filed under the name uncultured bacterium. RNAcentral describes it as "partial 16S ribosomal RNA". It matches the Rfam family "Bacterial small subunit ribosomal RNA", at positions 28 to 507 of the family's 1533-position model. The record is from RNAcentral.
GACGAACGCUGGCGGCGUGCCUAAUACAUGCAAGUAGAACGCUGAAGGAGGAGCUUGCUUCUCUGGAUGAGUUGCGAACGGGUGAGUAACGCGUAGGUAACCUGCCUGGUAGCGGGGGAUAACUAUUGGAAACGAUAGCUAAUACCGCAUAAUAUUGACUAUUGCAUGAUAGUCAGUUGAAAGGUGCAACUGCACCACUACCAGAUGGACCUGCGUUGUAUUAGCUAGUUGGUGGGGUAACGGCUCACCAAGGCGACGAUACAUAGCCGACCUGAGAGGGUGAUCGGCCACACUGGGACUGAGACACGGCCCAGACUCCUACGGGAGGCAGCAGUAGGGAAUCUUCGGCAAUGGACGGAAGUCUGACCGAGCAACGCCGCGUGAGUGAAGAAGGUUUUCGGAUCGUAAAGCUCUGUUGUAAGAGAAGAACGAGUGUGAGAGUGGAAAGCUCACACUGUGACGGUAUCUUACCAGAAAGGGACGGCUAACUUCGUG